This 565-nucleotide long non-coding RNA is filed under the name Parus major (Great Tit). RNAcentral's name for it is "lncRNA (ENSPMJG00000016039.1)". The record is from RNAcentral. Lineage: Eukaryota; Metazoa; Chordata; Aves; Passeriformes; Paridae.
CACACACCCUGUUUUCUCCCCAGUAAGCUGCUAUAUUUUUAAUGUCUCCAUUAGCUUUUGGAACAACUGACAGCUUUAAGCUUUUCCCUGCAAUGAGCUCCAAUGUGGAAACAUCAUGCAGCUUUCAAUCACAAGACAAAUGGCUAAAGAUUUUUAGAGGAGGUUCCAGUUCCAGAAUAGGAAGCCUGCCCAGUCAACCCUACACUUUUAAUAUAAUUAUUAUUUAUUCAUGACCAACCAUAAAUGCACCUGGUUCCUGCAGUACUACUUGUCUUCAGAAAUGCCCUUGCUGAAAUUGCAGACACUGCAGAAAAGCGAAAUUCAUGAAAACUUGGGUGAAACCACUCUGUUGUCACAACUUCAUAAUGACCUUACUAACAAGCUGGAUACCAGCCCCAACAGCAAUUCUUCUCUUACAUUUUUGGAGAGCAAAGGUAUAUGCUUCUGGAAACCCAGAGGAGGAAAUAGAUUACACAUAUGUUAUUAUAGGAGCUACUCUGGGAGCAGUUCUAGCAAUCGGUUUUGUAGCAGUAAUAAUCUGCAUGAUCAAAUCCAAAAUGAUUGA